Molecule: long non-coding RNA, 2208 nt
Organism: Oreochromis niloticus (Nile tilapia)
Lineage: Eukaryota; Metazoa; Chordata; Actinopteri; Cichliformes; Cichlidae
Exons: 3
Source: RefSeq, a predicted model, not a curated record
CUACGUACGUGUCACAAUCAUAUGGUCAAGACAGUACUUUCAGCUUCCCUUUACGUUUUAUAUAACUGAUGACAUUGUCAGUAAUUCUGCAGGAGAAUCGGGAGCUGUGACGAACAGCGGUAUGCAAUUUUAAGUAUAAUAUUAUAGAAAAUGAUCCAGACAAUGCAACCCAGUGCAUGUUUUGUCUAUUAACCUUUCCCUCUUUCAUUUAGAGGCAGACCUAUGAGAUGACGUUACUAUGAUGCAGGCUGCACCACCAAUUUUCGCCUUGAUUAUUAUGUUAAAGCUAACGGCUGCAAUGCAUCUUUGCAAUACAUACACGUAUUGAUCCCAUAACACUGUUCGAUUUGGAAUAUUUGUCUUAUUCAGUGUCGACUAUUAUGUGAACAGGUAUGCUAGUAGUAAAGACUUCAGGGAUAAAGUUGGUUCUUAUUUCCCAGCUAGAUCUAGUUCUUACUGCAUCCUGUUGAGGGCGACAGAAUACAUGUAAUGUGAAUGCCAAAACCUUUUUGUAUGUACACUAUAGGUUUAAAAUAAUCAUAAACAAUGGACACUGUUUUAUUAUUUACAUCGACCUGUCGUGUUGAUAUAAAUCCACAAUUACCCUGCAAUUACCCUGAUUAAGAAAUUCAAAAGGAAAAGCCCUAAAUGACAAAGUUAAGCAAUACAUGUCUUUGGUUUUAUUCAGGCAGUCUGUCCUCCAGUCUAUUAAAUAGAAGGACAGAAUAGAAUGGAACAGAACAGAAAUACAAGAGAUUUACUCAGACAUCUAGAUCGGCCUGUCUUUGUGUUGAUUUGUGAAGACUAUCUUUUAAAGAUUUUUGUUAAGCGGUUCUGGUUGUGAUACCAUAAUAUUUUUUUGAAAUGACAAAAUUUCUAUCUAUAUAUGGAAUUAACAUACAAGUUGUGUAGUGAUAGUAAUACAGUUAUUGAUAGCUAAAUAUUCUCUACAAAGCCUCUGGUUAAUCCACUGUUAAAUCAAGAAUUGCCUUACAAAAUUAUUUUCCUCACAGUGAUCAGGCCACAUCAUAUCUUUAAGACCUCAUAGUAUCAUAUUAUCCCAACAGAUCACUCUCAGACUACAAGUUUACUUGUGGUUCUUUGAGUUUUUAAAAGGAGAAUGGGAGGCAGAGCCUUCAACUGUGCUGCCCCUCUCCUGUGGAACCAGCUCCCCGUUUGGAUUCAGGAGACAGACACUGUCUCUACUUUUAAGACUAGACUCAACACUUUGCUUUUUGAUAAAGGAUAUGGUUGGGGCUGGGUCAACAAACCCUAAACAUUCACUUAGUUAUCCUGCUAUAGGCUCAGGCUACUACUGGACUUUAUGUUUUCUCUUUCCCCUCACCCUCAAUUGGCUUCUGCAGAUGGCUUCCCCUCCAUGAGUCUGGCUCUGCUGGUGAUUUCUUCCUGUUAACAGGGAGGUUUGCCUUCCCACGGUUCCAAAGUACAUGCUCAUUGGGGGUGGCUUGAUUGUUGAGGUUUUCUCCAGUACUGUAGGAACGUUAUAGAACACCUUCAGCUGAUUAUUGUGUUCAUUUUAAUCUUCAGGCACACAACCAAGGCCGAAUUUGCUGUGAUGAGAACUCAUUCUGUAUGUUUACACGAGUGUCUUUGGCCCAUGGAAGUAACUCCUCCCAGGAAGAGUGAUGGGAAUUAGAUAAAAGUACAGGCUAUCUGUCAGUAUCUCACAGGAUGUGAGGAUAAGUUUCCAGAGACACAUUUUUCUUCUGUGAACGAGAUUUACUGUGAGCUGUCUCAAGAAGGAUGUCCGUGCUUUUUAGGAGACCCACACUAACCAGGUUGCUGCUGCUGAAGAACAUUAAGCAAAAUCAGAGGUCAACCAUCUACAGCAAGCCACCCAAGGAAAAGAUUGGGCCAGUGCAGUCUACCUUUGCCUUAUGCGUGUUUGCUGUGACUCUCCUGGCCCCGGCUGGCUGGAUCAUGCAUCAUAUCCCAGAAUAUCGAAGACAAGGCCAGAAUACCUCAACAUGACUGAUUUCUACAGGAACUCUGCAGACAGGCACCCGAACAAUGUCACUGUGUGAACCUCUCUCCACUGUGUAAAAUGUCGUGAAAAAAAGUAAAACCUUUGUUAAAUCUGAAGUCUGACUGAGCUAUUUUCCUAUACAGUUACAAAUGAUAACUAUUGUGUAUUUUAUUUCUGAGAUUAUUGACUGUUUUGAGGGUGAUAUUAAAAAAAAGACAAAA